GACGAACGCUGGCGGCGUGCUUAACACAUGCAAGUCGUACGGUAAGGCCCUUUCGGGGGUACACGAGUGGCGAACGGGUGCGUAACACGUGCGUAACCUGCCCACAACUUUGGGAUAACGCUAUGAAACUGGGGCUAAUACUGGAUAUGUGCUCCUGCUGCAUGGUGGGGGUUGGAAAGCUCCGGCGGGUGUGGGUGGACUCGCGGCCUAUCAGCUUGUUGGUGGGGUAGUGGCCUACCAAGGCGGGGACGGGUAGCCGGCCUGAGAGGGUGACCGGCCACAGUGGGACUGAGAUACGGCCCAGACUCCUACGGGAGGCAGCAGGGGGGAAUAUUGCACAAUGGGCGCAAGCCUGAUGCAGCAACGCCGCGUGCGGGAUGACGGCCUUCGGGUUGGAAACCGCUUUCAGCAGGGACGAAGCUUUUUGUGACGGUACCUGCAGAAGAAGCACCGGCUAACUACGUG
This 465-nucleotide ribosomal RNA is filed under the name uncultured bacterium. Its description in RNAcentral is "partial 16S ribosomal RNA". It matches the Rfam family "Bacterial small subunit ribosomal RNA", at positions 28 to 507 of the family's 1533-position model. The record is from RNAcentral.